RNAcentral lists this unclassified non-coding RNA (3830 nucleotides) under Leishmania donovani. RNAcentral's name for it is "gene:LdHU3.09.1320(CDS-product:phospholipid:diacy lglycerol_acyltransferase_putative)". Lineage: Eukaryota; Euglenozoa; Kinetoplastea; Trypanosomatida; Trypanosomatidae. The record is from RNAcentral.
GAUAUCAUAUUCUAUUCUGUGUCUGCCUGCGUGCCUGCGCGCGCCUCUCUUCUUCGCCCCGAUUAUUGCUGCUACCUGCUCUUACCGUGUUGGGGAAGGGGAGGGCGGCGACCCGGCAUCGAUACGCGCAUACACGCACGUAUAUACAUAUAUAUAUAUAUAUACGUAUAUCUUUGUGUGUUUGUGCGGCGGUGCUGUGUGAUGCAGCGUCCGUCACGGUGGAGCCCCUCACCACCCACACACACACACACGCACGCACGCACGCGCAUGCCUUCUUGAGCAUUUUUCGCCGUGGUGGUCAGGGGCCCUUUUCUCUCUGCCUCACUUUUUGUGGGCAUAUCGCACCUCUGCACCACUCCGCCCGGUGCGCACGCCUCUGGCGAGGUCCACCGCUUGACAAGAUGAAGGACACCAAAGGCAGCGGCAACAAAGUGGCGCGCGCCGCGUCGUCGGCCGCCGGUAGCGCGGCCUCGAGCCCUCGAAAAGGCCAAGUGCGCUAUCGCCGCACCUUGCAGGGCCAGCGUGCAGAAACCGACGGCAAGUCAUCGGAGGGCGUGGUUGCUGCCACGCAGGCGCGCCGCGUCGCGCCGGUGGUGCAGUCGGCGGCUCUCAUGCAUAUCGAAACAAGCAUCGACGCGAUGCACCGCCCGCCGCCCGUGGAGGUGUCACCGUCGAACCCGAGGGUGUCUGCAGCACGACGGUACGCGCCUUCCGUCGCGGGUGGGCAACAUCAUCACCGCGGGCAGCACAAGGGGUUGUCUGCGAGCGGUCAGCCGAAGAGCCGCUGGAUGCGCCUGCGCUCCUUCAUGUUUGGCCGGGAGGAGUUCGUGGACUUCGACAACGCAUUCGCGAGUCCGACUGACUCCGCAAAGGUUACCGACUCGCAGCGACGCACAGCACGGAUGAUCGAGCGUCUGCCGCUCCCCAGCUGGAUGAAGCACAACCUCUUCGAUGUAGUCGACUUUCUGACACGCAGGCGGGUGCAUCUUGUCGUGCUCAUUCUCGCAGUGCUCAUGUUUGUGAUUGCGCCAGAAGGUGUGAUGGAGGACGUCGCCGGCUCCUUCACGGUCGAUGAGGACGCGCGACCGGGGCUCACCUUCUUCAAGAAGUACAACAGGGGUGACACAUACUUGCCGCGGCGGCACCCCGUCGUCAUCAUGCCGGGCUUCAUCACCGGCGCGCUGGAGGUGUGGGAAACCUCGCUGCCGUGUGCGCGGCAGAAGUCCUUCUUUUCGGGGUUCCGGCAGCGCAUGUUUGGACCGCAGAUGAUCUACCUCAUCCUGUCCGACCCGCAGUGCUGGCUGGACAUGUUCAGCAUGAACAAGAAAACCGGGAUGGACCGCGACGACACGAAGGUGCGCGCCGACUCUGGCUUCGCCUCGGUGGACUACUUCGUCCCUGGCUACUGGGUGUGGGCGAAGGUGCUCAUCAACCUCGCGGACAUCGGUUACGACCCGCAGAGCAUGGCAGUCGUGACAUACGACUGGCGCCUCUCCCCUGGUAAGGCGCACGAGCGCGACGGGUUCUUUUACCAGGUGCGCAACAGCCUGCGCUUUCUGUGCCAGAAGAACCGGAAGCGGGCGGUGGUCAUUUCGCACAGCUACGGCGCGACCGUCGCCCUGGCCUUCUUCCGGUGGGCAGAGCAGCGCGAGAGCGGCUUUAUGGACCGCCACGUCGCCUACUACGUGAACGUAGGCGGCGUUGCAAUGGGCGUUGGCAAGGCUGCCUCAGCGCUGCUGCUCGGCGACGCAAGAGACACGCUCAACAUUCAGUGGGCGGCCAGGAAGAUGUUCGACACCUUUAUCAGCCAGGAGGCCCGCUAUGGCUUGUCGCGGUCGUGGAGCUGCCUGGUGUCGAUGCUGCCGCGCGGUUGCGAGGAGGCGUGGCCGGGGCUCACGGUGCUGCCUAACGGCACCGCUCUCGGCACUCGCGGCACGGCGGAACUAAUCCGCGGUGAAUGCCAGCGCUCCGGUCACGAGGACUGCGUUCGUCAGAUCGACUCCUUCUUGGAGACUAUCGACGACUUGCCCUCGCUGCCGCAGGCACCAAACACAACGGUGGCGUGCCUGUACGGCGUCGGCUUGCCAGCGGAGGCAGGCUACUAUCUCAUGUGGAACCCAGACGAGGCGAACAUCGAAACCCCGUACGUAGGCAACAGCUCCGUAUUUAACAACAACACUUCACAUGGCGUGCGCAUGUCGGAUGGCGAUGAUACGGUGCCGCUCAUGUCGCUCGCGUACAUGUGUCGCGCCGUGAACGGGUGGAGACGCAAUGUGGGCCGCGUCGUGACGCGGGAAUUCAACCACAGCGUCAGUGGUGCCUCGUCCUUGAACCUGCGCGGUGGUAAACUGAGUGCCAAGCAUGUCGACAUUCUUGGCAACUACGAGAUGCUCGAGAUAAUCUUGAAGAUCGCCAGCGGCAUCGACGAGGAGGGUGUCGAGAAGCCUGAGAACGACGAGUUCAACUACACAAACGCGGACACCGGCGAGACCUCUACGCUGCAGCGCCGUGUGCACGACCGCAUCUACUCCGACGUGGACUUCAUUAUACGUAGCAACCUGCGCAGCUGCCUGCGCAAGAAGAACAAGCCGAUCAAACCUAUAGAGAGCUACGAGGAUGAUGACGAAUUUGCGUGGAGUGGCACUUCCAAGUCGUCGUGGCAACAACGGUAGGUCGAGCGUUUUCCAUAGGUGACUGGAAAGGUGGGGACCGAAUGGGAAGAGACGCACAGCGAGGGCCAGCUCGACAAGGACGUCAGGCGUCGGUCGUGUUGAAGAAUCAGCGAGGUACGCAGGCGUUGGCCUCAUCUAGGCGGUGUCCGGAGAGGUGGAUUCGGCUUCGCACUUGGAGGGAGGUGGACGCACACAUCCCACCGCCUUCUCAACAUUUUUGUUUUCCGUGGUACCCCUCAUGACGUCUCCCCCUCUGGUGACAGGAGGGCACACAUACACACACCUCUCAGAGCGUGGUGUCUCAGGGCCCUGUGCGACUCCCCCCACCCCCCACUCUCUGUGUUAGGGAGGCCAAACACCCCCCCCCCCUCUUCUACCUCUGCCAAUGCAGAACCCACCUCUGGCGGUGCGUCGGGACGGCCGACGACAGUGAACACGUCUGUGCCAUCCAUACGAUGGGCAGCACGUGUCAGGGUGACUCGAGCGUAUGCCUCACACGGCCCUCACACGGCCCACUGAUGUGUGGGGAGGAGCCUGUGUGCCACCCCGAGGGAGGGGGGAGGGGGGAUGCACCAGGCGUGGCGACCGGCAUGAUUGGGGGGCGGCUGUGUGGGGUGGGGGAGUAGAGCUUGAGACAGAGAUGGUGUACAGGUCGCUGAGUCGGCGCAUUUGCUGUAGCACACGUGUGUGUCUGCGGUUUGCUUCGCACCACGCGGAUGGGGCCUGGUGACAGGGCCGUGGAAGGGUGGGUGGGCGAAGGGGUGUGCAGAGUGGCGUUGGACUCAUACGCGAGGGCUGAGAAAUGAAGGCAGUGGCAGACGACAUACACGCCUCCCUCCCUCCCUCUUUUCAUUGCAGAAGUUCUUUUCGUGCCCUCAUGCGGUACGUGUCUCCUCUACUGCCUCCGGGAGGCUCCCGGCCGCCUCUUAUGCUAGGGCGGAUGUGAACGAGUUUUUUUUUUGCAUCUUCUGUGGCUUUAAAUCAUGUCUCUCAACCCCCCCCCCCGCCCGCUUCCCACUCACCCCACCCCCGCUGACCAUUCCGCCAUCAACUCCGUCAGCGGGUGGGGGACAUGGUGGACAAGGGGAGGGAGGAACCCAGCACUUUCAUUAGAGACAUGGGAACGAUCAAUCGCUACUCCAUGAGAACUGGAUCCAG